CGGACGGGUGAGUAACGCGUGGAAAACCUGCCGUAUACUGGGGGAUAACACUUAGAAAUAGGUGCUAAUACCGCAUAAGCGCACAGCUUCGCAUGAAGCGGUGUGAAAAACUCUGGUGGUAUACGAUGGUUCCGCGUCUGAUUAGCUAGUUGGUGGGGUAAUGGCCUACCAAGGCAACGAUCAGUAGCCAGCCUGAGAGGGUGAACGGCCACAUUGGGACUGAGACACGGCCCAAACUCCUACGGAAGGCAGCAG
This 255-nucleotide ribosomal RNA is filed under the name uncultured bacterium. RNAcentral's name for it is "partial 16S ribosomal RNA". It matches the Rfam family "Bacterial small subunit ribosomal RNA", at positions 99 to 354 of the family's 1533-position model. The record is from RNAcentral.